RNAcentral lists this unclassified non-coding RNA (323 nucleotides) under fungal sp. RNAcentral describes it as "partial internal transcribed spacer region". The stretch from base 1 to 46 matches the Rfam family "Eukaryotic small subunit ribosomal RNA", at positions 1786 to 1831 of the family's 1831-position model. Lineage: Eukaryota; Fungi. The record is from RNAcentral.
AAGUCGUAACAAGGUUUCCGUAGGUGAACCUGCGGAAGGAUCAUUAACACGUAUCCAAACGUUAAAACCCCCCCCCGUGAACAUUCAUCCUGCUCUUGUAACCCGCGAAGCUUGCAAUGAGCGGUAGUUCUAUAGGCCUUGUUUCCCCAAGCAGUCAGUGUCUGAAAGUGUCAUUGAUUGUGCAAGGAUAACGCUUCACGAUUCUUGUAGACCGCAUCUUGCGGGCAGGAGCUAGGCCAAAGGAUCCCCUCAAAUGUGAAGCUCAAUGUAAUACAUUGGGUAAAAAAACCGAACAACUGUUAACAAUGGAUAUCUUGGUUCUC